RNAcentral lists this ribosomal RNA (450 nucleotides) under uncultured bacterium. RNAcentral's name for it is "partial 16S ribosomal RNA". It matches the Rfam family "Bacterial small subunit ribosomal RNA", at positions 354 to 796 of the family's 1533-position model. The record is from RNAcentral.
GUGGGGAAUUUUGGACAAUGGGCGCAAGCCUGAUCCAGCCAUGCCGCGUGCAGGAUGAAGGCCUUCGGGUUGUAAACUGCUUUUGUACGGAACGAAAAGACUCUGGUUAAUACCUGGGGUUCAUGACGGUACCGUAAGAAUAAGCACCGGCUAACUACGUGCCAGCAGCCGCGGUAAUACGUAGGGUGCGAGCGUUAAUCGGAAUUACUGGGCGUAAAGCGUGCGCAGGCGGUUAUAUAAGACAGAUGUGAAAUCCCCGGGCUCAACCUGGGAACUGCAUUUGUGACUGUAUGGCUAGAGUACGGCAGAGGGGGAUGGAAUUCCGCGUGUAGCAGUGAAAUGCGUAGAUAUGCGGAGGAACACCGAUGGCGAAGGCAAUCCCCUGGGCCUGUACUGACGCUCAUGCACGAAAGCGUGGGGAGCAAACAGGAUUAGAAACCCUAGUAGUCC